Molecule: ribosomal RNA, 508 nt
Filed under: uncultured bacterium
Lineage: Bacteria
Description: bacterial SSU rRNA
Rfam family: Bacterial small subunit ribosomal RNA
Source: RNAcentral
CUGGCUCAGGAUGAACGCUAGCUACAGGCUUAACACAUGCAAGUCGAGGGGCAGCAUGAAGUUGCUUGCAAACUUGAUGGCGACCGGCGCACGGGUGAGUAACGCGUAUCCAACCUUCCCCUUAGUAGCGGAUAGCCCGGCGAAAGUCGGAUUAAUACGCUAUGUUCUUCGUAGAGGACAUCUGAAAUGAAGCAAAGGCUUGCCGCUAAGGGAUGGGGAUGCGUCUGAUUAGGCAGUAGGCGGGGUAACGGCCCACCUAGCCGACGAUCAGUAGGGGUUCUGAGAGGAAGGUCCCCCACAUUGGAACUGAGACACGGUCCAAACUCCUACGGGAGGCAGCAGUGAGGAAUAUUGGUCAAUGGGCGCGAGCCUGAACCAGCCAAGUAGCGUGCAGGAUGACGGCCCUAUGGGUUGUAAACUGCUUUUAUACAGGGAUAAAGUGCGCCACGUGUGGUGUUUUGUAGGUACUGUAUGAAUAAGGACCGGCUAAUUCCGUGCCAGCAGCCGC